Molecule: unclassified non-coding RNA, 397 nt
Filed under: uncultured Inocybe
Lineage: Eukaryota; Fungi; Basidiomycota; Agaricomycetes; Agaricales; Cortinariaceae
Description: sequence contains ITS2
Rfam family: 5.8S ribosomal RNA (bases 1-154)
Source: RNAcentral
AACUUUUGGCAACGGAUCACUUGGCUCUCGCAUCGAUGAAAAAGGCAGCGAAAGGCGAUAAGUAAUGUGAAUUGCAGAAUUCAGUGAAGCAUCGAAUCUUUGAACGCAUCUUGCGCUCCUUGGUAUUCCGAGGAGCAUGCCUGUUUGAGUGUCAUCAAGUUCUCAACCAUAUCUCGGUGUGGCUUGGAUCUGGGGGUUCUGCAGGCUUCAAAGAAGGUCGGCUCCCCUGAAAAGCAUUAGCGGUGUCCGAGUACCUUUGGUGUGAUAACUAUCUAUGCCUUGGUGUAUGCGAUGCGUGCUGCUUCUGAACUUGCGUCUUGCGCAUCUAAUUGACAAAUUUGACCUCAAAUCAGGUAGGAUUACCCGCUGAACUUAAGCAUAUCAAUAAGCGGAGGCU